AGAGAAGCCAGAUGGCCCUCAGAGCCAGGACCAGGAUGCCCUCAGCUGCCCUCCAAACUCUCCCAUACUUCCUUUCUGCCCCGUGAGCUGACUGGGGGUCCUGGCCUGCCUCCUGCCUCUGCAAGCCUGAAGAGGGGAAGGGGUCAGAGGCAGGCUUUAUGUUGUAGUCAGCCUUCAGGCAAAGGGUGCCUUCUUUCACAGAGACCCCUAGACUCCUUUCUGCUCUCAAUAGAUGACUCCCUUGUCCCCCUCACCACGCUGGCCCAGGGCAGAAGCAGGCAAAGCUCAAGUUCCUCAUACAACCACAUGUCUCCCAGCGCUGCCCACCUGGAGACAUCCGCCUGGCUGCCACCCACAAGUGUGUGUCUCCCCAGAUGCAUGACUGUGAUUCCUUCUGCCGACCAGGUAGUGGGGAGCUCAGCGCUGACCUGGGCAUCUGCCAGUGCCGGGCGUAUGUCUCAGCUGAAGAGCUCUGUGACACCCAGUGUCUAGCUACAGCCCCUCAGCUUUCCUUGGCCUGGAGCUCCAGCAAGAAGUUAAUACUCAGCAUUAAGAAGAAGGCAGGGAAUAUCAUCCAGAGGGAGGUCUCUAGUACUCUGGGCCCUGACCAGCCCUUCCCAGGGAGUGCCAGAGUCUACUUGAUCGAGUUUGGCCCCCACGGAAUCUUUGGCUUCAUCAUCUCCAGUGUGGACAUGGUUGGCUCCUUCCUCCAAGGAACCCCUGCACCCAGUACCCAGCCUCAGAGACUCUAUCCAACCACAGGCCCAAGGCACCCCUACAUUAGUCCCCACAUUCCAAACCCAGUGGUCUGCCUGGCAGCAGGGGAUGUGAUCCUCUUCCAGCUCCAUAUUCUCCCCCACAACCGUUCAGCUAGUCACUACCCUGUGUACCAGAGGCAGCAUCUGCUCAAUAGCAACCCCCACUGGGACUUUGGAGCCUUCAGAAGACUCUGCCACCUGGUACAAGAGACACAGUUCAACCUCUCAAGGUUUGCCCACCGGUUCCUAGAUCCAGGCACAUAUGUAUUUCGUGACAAUGGGCAGUCUGAGAGCAUUGCUGUGGUGCAUGUGCAGGAAGAGGGGGCAGUCUGCAGCCCUGGUCUGGCCCCCAUUCAACCCUCCUCCCCAUAUCAACUUGGCAGGCUUGGCAUCCUCCGGCGAGAGCUGCUUCUGGCCCCAGAUUGGGCAGCAAUCACCGGUAUUAACCUGGAUAGGGCAGCCAGGACUGAGGGUCUGGAGGGCCUCUGUGUAGCAGUGCCACAGGUAUGAGUCAGCCCUUCUGAAGUCUGGGCAUAGCCCCAAGGAAGACAGUUAAGUACAAUGACAUAAGCAUGGUGGAACACAUCCUUGAACAGGUCAUCAUUUGCAGGGAAAGAAACCUGGAUUGCUUCCAUUUGGCGUGGCUUAUCUUCCCUCCCCACCCUUUGGCCGAUAGUCAGCCAUCUGCAUUGAGGCAGAGUCCUGAGAUAAGGAGAAACUCAGCCCUGCCCAGCAGUAGAGAGGAUGCUACCCUGCCAUGUCUGAGGCUUCAAGGAAGGACUUAUGUAGGCUUGGUAGCACAACUCACCCAUGCUCAUACACACCCACUGUCACAGUUACACACUCGUGGCAGGAGGGGCUGUGGGUGAGGGAAGAGCUUCCCAGUGAGAGACCAAAUUAUUGCAAAAGGGAACUCUGAGGAGUUAGAGCUCAAGAGAGCAGAAGGAGGCCAGAGCCUCAGAAGCAAAUGCAAAAUUCCCCUCUCCAGGAUCCCAGGAAGGCUGGGGAGGUUCUAGGAGCCCA
This is a long non-coding RNA of Fukomys damarensis (Damara mole-rat), 1781 nucleotides long. The record is from Ensembl. NCBI's taxonomy places the organism in Eukaryota, Metazoa, Chordata, Mammalia, Rodentia, Bathyergidae.